This 406-nucleotide ribosomal RNA is filed under the name uncultured bacterium. Its description in RNAcentral is "bacterial SSU rRNA". It matches the Rfam family "Bacterial small subunit ribosomal RNA", at positions 355 to 775 of the family's 1533-position model. The record is from RNAcentral.
UGGGGAAUAUUGGGCAAUGGGCGAAAGCCUGACCCAGCAACGCCGCGUGAGGGAAGAAGGCCUUCGGGUUGUAAACCUCUGUCCUUGGUGACGAAAAAAAUGACGGUAGCCAAGGAGGAAGCCCCGGCUAACUACGUGCCAGCAGCCGCGGUAAUACGUAGGGGGCGAGCGUUGUCCGGAAUUACUGGGCGUAAAGGGUGCGUAGGUGGCCUUUUAAGUUGGAUGUGAAAUCCCCGGGCUUAACUUGGGUGGUGCAUCUAAUACUGGAGGGCUAGAGUGCAGGAGAGGGAAGCGGAAUUCCUAGUGUAGCGGUGAAAUGCGUAGAUAUUAGGAGGAACACCAGUGGCGAAGGCGGCUUUCUGGACUGUAACUGACACUGAGGCACGAAAGCGUGGGGAGCAAACAG